CCCUUAGAUGUUCUGGGCCGCACGCGCGCUACACUGAACAGUUCAACAAGUCUUAACCUUGGCCGAUAGGUCUGGGUAAUCUUUGAACGCUGUUCGUGAUUGGGAUAGACCUUUGCAAUUAUGGGUCUUCAACGAGGAAUUCCUAGCAAACGCAAGUCAUCAGCUUGCAUUGAUUACGUCCCUGCCCUUUGUACACACCGCCCGUCGCACCUACCGAUUGAAUGGUCCGGUGAAAUCUCGGGACGGCGGCUUGGUCGCUUGCGUCCGACUGCUGAAACUUGAUUAAACCAUAUCAUUUAGAGGAAGGUGAAGUCGUAACA
Molecule: ribosomal RNA, 320 nt
Filed under: uncultured eukaryote
Lineage: Eukaryota
Description: partial 18S ribosomal RNA
Rfam family: Eukaryotic small subunit ribosomal RNA
Source: RNAcentral